This 67-nucleotide transfer RNA is filed under the name Sicyonia parajaponica. RNAcentral describes it as "tRNA-Gly". It matches the Rfam family "tRNA". From Rfam's summary of the family: Transfer RNA (tRNA) molecules are approximately 80 nucleotides in length. Their secondary structure includes four short double-helical elements and three loops (D, anti-codon, and T loops). Lineage: Eukaryota; Metazoa; Arthropoda; Malacostraca; Decapoda; Sicyoniidae. The record is from RNAcentral.
GCCUUCUUAGUACAAAAGUAUAUUUGGCUUCCAACCAAAAGAUCUAAGUGCUAUCUUAGAGUAGGCA